CUACUGUGAUGUACCAUUAGAAUUUCUUCACCUGAUCAUAUUUAUGAAGAGUUGAACAGAGCUUUUUAAAACUGAGUAGA
This is a small nucleolar RNA of Lytechinus pictus (painted urchin), 80 nucleotides long. The record is from RefSeq and is a predicted model, not a curated record. NCBI's taxonomy places the organism in Eukaryota, Metazoa, Echinodermata, Echinoidea, Temnopleuroida, Toxopneustidae.